Molecule: non-coding RNA, 70 nt
Organism: Podarcis lilfordi (Lilford's wall lizard)
Lineage: Eukaryota; Metazoa; Chordata; Lepidosauria; Squamata; Lacertidae
Source: the annotation of a GenBank genome assembly
GGCCAUAGCUCGAUGGUAGAGCAUCUGCUUUGCAUGCAGAAGGUCCCAGGUUCAAUACCCAGCAUCUCCA